UCAGUUUAUCAAUACUCCAAAAUACAUUGUUAGUAUAUAUCAAAACCAUGGUAUUAGGCUAUGCUUCGCUAUCAAAAAUAGCCAGCCACUUUCAGAUAGGUAGCCACAGAUAUAACAUCACUAAGGCAGAACGAUACCCAAACUAUAGCUGAUUUUCCAUAACUUGGGUACCAUAAAUAAUAAUCCAGUACAAUGAAAGAUAAUAGGCCUAAUUCAAAGGUUUAGCCUGAGCCAGCAGAAACCCCCUAGUGACAGAUAAAGAAAACAGUUUAAAUGAUCCAAUCUCAUAGACCGCUAAACCAAAUCUGAUCCAAUCCCAUAUAAACAACCCUCGUGAAUCAGAUACGAUCACUAUAGACAGAUAGAACCCCUAGUUGCUGCCCUGAGGGCCAAACAGAGGGACAUCUGGAAUGAACCCACCCAUCUCUGGAGCAGCAACGGGUGGGGCCUGGACGACGGGUGGGGCGAUGGCCUGGGCGAUAGGUGGGGCGAUGGCCUGGGCGUCAGCUGGGGCGACGGGUGGGGCGACGGGCGGGGCCUGGACGACGGGUGGGGCGAU
This 559-nucleotide long non-coding RNA is filed under the name Triticum aestivum (bread wheat). RNAcentral's name for it is "long non-coding RNA (TAES_LNC007242)". Lineage: Eukaryota; Viridiplantae; Streptophyta; Magnoliopsida; Poales; Poaceae. The record is from RNAcentral.